Molecule: ribosomal RNA, 253 nt
Filed under: uncultured bacterium
Lineage: Bacteria
Description: partial 16S ribosomal RNA
Rfam family: Bacterial small subunit ribosomal RNA
Source: RNAcentral
UACGUAGGGUGCAAGCGUUAAUCGGAAUUACUGGGCGUAAAGCGUGCGCAGGCGGUUUUGUAAGUCUGACGUGAAAGCCCCGGGCUCAACCUGGGAAUUGCGUUGGAGACUGCAAGGCUUGAAUCUGGCAGAGGGGGGUAGAAUUCCACGUGUAGCAGUGAAAUGCGUAGAGAUGUGGAGGAACACCGAUGGCGAAGGCAGCCCCCUGGGUCAAGAUUGACGCUCAGGUGCGAAAGCGUGGGGAGCAAACAGG